CCUAAGCCUGAGAAAACAGGGCCUCUGGCUUCUUGGCAGGGAGAGGUUCCAGAGAGUGCAGGGGAGGCCCUGCCUCCUUGGGUGGGGUGACCUGGGCCUCCUGGGACCUCAGUUCCCUGCCUGUGAAAAAGACGGACGGAGGUAGAGAAUCCCAGGGUGCCUUUCCAGGACUAAAGACGGUGCCUUCUUUAUGUAAAUUCCAUCCUUCGCAAGUUCACUGUGGAGCGCUCUCCCGGGGCCCAGUCUCUAGGCGCAGAACACCCAGCCAGGUGGUAGCUCUCCUUUGCAAAUUGUACUUUUUAAUGUGUCGUUGAGUUUGCUAAAGCAGGUUGCCCUGUGAGUAGAGUACAAGGCUGGUCGUCAGGCGGGGAGAGUGACAAUGUUUUGAAAUUGUUGAAUUUCCUGAGCAUGCACCAGGCUCAGUGUCUUGGAGCAGUGCGGGAAGGCUGGUGUUGCGGCGGCCUGAAGAAGCACAGCUGCAGAUGCUAACGCAGGCCUGGUGAGCAGGAAGCCGGGGCGUGGCUCAGGCGGAGGGGAGAGGCCGGGGCAGGUCUGGCCCGGCCAUGGGGGCCGGGCUCUGAGCUGGAGAGCAAGGUGUGGUUUCAGAGGGAGCUGGGGACGGAAGCCUGAAUGAAGUGGACUCAGCAGAGAUGGGAGGUGAGGCCGUGCCCUGCUGAGGUGGGAGGUGAGGCCGUGCCCUGCUAAGGUAGGAGGUGAGGCCGUGCCCUGCAGAGAUGGGAGGCGAGGCCGUGCCCUGCUGAGAUGGGAGGUGAGGCCGUGCCCUGCAGAGAUGGGAGGUGAGGCCGUGCCCUGCUGAGAUGGGAGGUGAGGCCGUGCCCUGCUGAGAUGGGAGGUGAGGCCGUGCCCUGCUGAGGUGGGAGGUGAGGCCGUGCCCUGCUGAGGUGGGAGGUGAGGCCGUGCCCUGCCGAGGGCUUCGUUAUACAGGGAGGAUAACUGGAGGGAAUGUGAGGUCAGUGGAGGGUGUUAGUAUUUUACAUGGGAAAUAAUAGAUACUGAAAAGGGAAGAAAUUAUAUGCAAGAGAGAGGGAUUAAUUAUAGAAACCAAGACCUUGAGUCAGUGACAGGGUAGGGGAACCAGGGCAGCAGCAGAGGGUCGCUGGGCAGCGGGGGUCGCUCAUCAGCUGGAGGGGUCCAUGGAGCGACACCUGCCCCCACCUCACAGCUGGAGGGGUCCAUGGAGCCGACACCUGCCCCCACCUCACAGCUGGAGGGGUCCAUGGAGCCGACACCUGCCCCCACCUCACAGCUGGAGGGGUCCAUGGAGCCGACACCUGCCCCCCGCCUCACAGCUGGAGGGGACCAUGGGGCGACACCUGCCCCCACCUCACAGCUGGAGGGGACCAUGGGGCGACACCUGCCCCCACCUCACAGCUGGAGGGGACCGUGAAGCCAACACCUGCCCCCCGCCUCACAGCUGGAGGGGACCAUGGAGCUGACACCUGCCCCCACCUCACAGCUGGAGGGGACCACAGGGUGGACACCCCCCCACCUCAUAGGCCCGUUGGACGAUCACGUGUGGAAUAAUGCAAUGUGUUUGGGUUCGUGCCUGGCACAUCAAGGCCUAUCUGACUACUUUUCCCUAGACCAAAACAACAAAAAACUACACUCCCAUGACAUCUCUCCAAACGGGAUUCUCUGUAAGUAGAAAAAGAUGACUGAGUUUGAAAAUACCAGUCGCUCCCCGGUUCUCAUUAUCAUAUUGUCAGAAGCAUCCUGUGACACCCACAAAGUUUAGCACGUAAUCCCAUGCACGGCAAGCCCAAAGCUGGCGGGCUGGGGCGGCCCGUGGUAGAGAAAGCUGUCACCUUUGGGAUUCCGCAGACAGCAGCCUUGGUGCCACUGGGGUAGAAGCAUCCGCGUCUCCGGCAUUCGGUGUCAGCAUCUACAGUUAGACCUUCCCAUCCUUAUGGGCUGGGCCCCUCUGCUGUCCUCGAGCUGCAUCCAACACCGGGGAAAUGAGUCCUGACGACCGAGGGACGUCACCAAGAGUGUCACCACCCACACCGAGCAGCCACAGGCUCCAUGUCCAGCCCCUCCUUCCCCCGGGAGGGUGAGCCCAGGAGGUGAGAGCAGAGAUCGGGGCCUGGAGGUGCGGCCUGGGAAGCCUGUUGUGGGUGCCGCCUCCCUGAGCCACAACCUGUCCUGGGGAUCGGUGGACGCUCCGUGGCUCUGCAGAGCUGCUUGUACCACCCUUGCUGGAGGAGGAGGUUCUCGCAGUUUGCUUCCGUUUGUGGAUGAGAGACAGGUGGGUUGGUUGGUUCUUCCCAUCAUGGCAUCACAGCCAUUCCACGGGAGGUGAUGGCAGCUGAUUGUUCUGAGUCUCUGCUAAGUGGAAUCACCCCAAGACCUCGAGUGCAUGGACCCACUGGGCUCUGGGCCCCGCAGAGACGUGCCCAGGCCUGGAUGUGCUGACUGCUGGGCUGUCCCACACAGCUGGAGCCAGGAGCCCACAGUGGGCAGCAGGACCUUGACUUCAGGCGGGCAGAGCCGGGCAUCUCCUGUCUCCUCCCUGCCCUGGCUGGGAUAGGUUUUUAGGAGUAACUUUGCUAGAGGGAAGAUUCUGAGACAUCUGCGAUCCUGAGCUGCUCCGGUGGGCACCUGCCAGAAGACAGGAGCCCAGGCUGCAGGAGUCGCUGGUGGAGGAGGGGUGAGGCGGCGCCCCUGCCUCUGUGGUUCUGCAUGGGGCAGGGCCCCUGCUGCUCCGGGCGGGGAAAGAAGGUGGGAUUCUUAGACAUGGGAAACACACAGCAACAUCUGGCCCUUCCACAAAGAAGAUGUGCCAUGUUCACCUUGAUAUUUGGGUUUUUGAAGAAAACCUGUAAAAGCUGUAAAACCCGAACCAUGAGGACACCCCAGGGGCACACAGUUCUGGAGGCUGAAAAUCAAGAUCAGGAUGCUGGCGUCUGACAAGGGCUUUCUUGCUGCAUCCUCACGUGGCGGAAAGUGGAAGGGCAAGAGAGAGCGAACCCAUCCUGAAAACCCCAGAUUACAGAGGCACUAAUCCAUUUAUGUGGGUGGAGCUCCCAUGACCCAAACACCUCCAAAGGCCCCACCUCCUGACAAUGUUGCACUGGGGAUUACAUUUCCAACACAUGAAUCUGGGGAGACAGAUUCAGACCACAGCAGAUGUCAAGGCUGGUUCAAAGGACAAUGUGAAGAACAAAGGCAUGCUGAAAUGAAUUUGAUAAUAGAUGCAAACUUGGGUAACAUCCUACAGGACAAUAAGGUGUAAGUAAUACUUGGGAUCAUCUUUCCUUAGACAUGAGCAUCAGUUGCAUCUACAGUGAACAACACUGAUUACAUUGCCAUAGAGGAAGCUUUGUGUUGCUCUCAGAUAAGAAGCAUGCACACUGCUGUAUUCUCUACAUGAACUUCUAUUCUACAGUUGUAAAAUAGUUCAGUCAAUAGAAAGCCAACCACAGAGACACACCUAGUGGUUUGUUUUUGCCUAUUUUUAAGUUUUUAAUAUUUUUUAUAACAGAUAUAACAUUGAAUCCAUAGUGAAGUUAAUCACUUUUUAAUUACCCAUUUUUCUAAUAAUUAAAUCAACAAGGGAGUCUCCUUUGGGUACCAAUCAAUCUCUAACCUUUCUAAACUUCUUGUUUGAAAAAGAGAAAGGCAGAAGUGGGCCUCAAGCAUGACGCCUUCAACUGACUGUACAAGCUAGCUGCAGUUUGAUGAUACUGUUGAAUUUUCUUUAUUAUAUUGUUACCUUUUAUUAAUGGCAAUGGAUAUAUUAGUUUUCCAUUUUUGGUUGAGAUAUGAGGCUUCCUUUAAAACAUAUUUAAGUAAAAAAGAAAAGUGAGUCAAUGUGUUUAAUUAAACAGCCAAAAGUAUUCAAAUGAUGAAUGAUAUAGAUGGGAUGAAUAGAAAGUCAUAGAAAAUUUAUGGUGAUCACUGAAGGUUGAGAAAAACCCAAUCUGAUGAGCACUCUGCUCCAUGUCAGGUCCUGCCUGUUGUGCUUGUCUCCCAGACUGUCUUUUAACUCUCACCUUCUUACAAAUAGUUGAAUCUUAAUAGCUAUUAUUACCUUACAUUUAACAAAAUAGGCAUAUGCAUAUUUUUUCAUUUUCUCCCUCUCCACUAAGGAAAACUUCAGAGAGAGAAAGAAUUUCUCCAGGGUCAAGCAUCCAGCUGAGCAUUCCAGUAGAGAAUGGCAGUGCUGGAAUCCCCCGCUGUUGUCCGGCUUCAAGACUCUUUUGCACUGUCUCCCAGCCCUGCUCCCAUGGGAGUUGUGGAGAAUUCCCAGGGUGAAGAAAGAACCUGGGGAUAGAGCCUCCUUUUUUCAUUUUUUCUUUCUUUUUUUUUUUUUUUUUGCGAUGGUCUUGCUCUGUCACCCAGGCUUGGAGUGCAGUGGUGUGAUCUUGGCUCACUGCAGCCUCAAUCUCCCAGGUUCAAGUGAUCCUUCCUCCUCAGUCUCCAGAGUAGCUGGGACUACAGGUAUGCACCACCAUGCCUGGCUAAUUUUUGUGUUUUUAGUAGAGAUGGGCUUUCAUCAUGUUGGCCAGACUGGUCUCAAACUCCUGACCUCAGGUGAUCCACCUGCCUCAGCCUCCCGAAGUGCUGGGAUUAUAGGCAUGAGCCACUGUGCCCGGCCUCAUUUUUCUUUUCCUUUUUACAGAAAUGGAAAUCACAUGGUAGGUCAUAAGGAGCUGACAGGGCUGGAGUUCCAGUGAGUAUCUGCCCCGGCAGUGCGGCAGCAGACGGGAAGGGUGGGAGGUCAUCUGAGCUGGUAGGGUGAGAACAAAUAUAAAUCUCAGGGGGGAUCCACAAGGGAGCCCAUGUCUUUGGUGCCACACAAAUGCAGUAAGAGCUGUGGACACCAGGGAAUACCAGGGAGUGUUUAAAAGCCCCACAGGCAGAACACACGCAGAGAAAGCAGGAGACUAGGCACUGUGGGUUCUUGGGAAAGAGCUGAUUUUAGUUGCAAAAGCAGAGGAAACCCCAGACAUUGCAUGGCUUUAGGCUUUAGGCUUUAGCCCCACCACCCUCACAAGUCUUCUGUCUCCAGGGGGCCAUCAGUGCCUCAGUUCCACUCGGUGCAGACCCCAGGGUUCUUCCCACCCCUGCAAGCCACCCAUCAGGGUGAACUGAGAGAUCAGCAGAGUCACUUACAACGAAGGGGAAUUGUUCUGGGCAUUGGUUAGUAAACAGGAGAGCAAAAGGGGAGAAGAAAAUUGUGUACAGGCGUUGAGCAUCUCUAGCCGAAGAAGGUGAGGCAUAGAGGUGUCUUACCACCAGGAACAGAUCUGAGUCAUGCAGCACCAAAAUACGUAUUUGAGUCAUGGCAUCAAAACGUUCCUGGUGGUGAAUUCAUGUCCGUGCGGGUCUGCAGCAAUCUCAAUUCUUGCCUCCUCAGAAGAAAGAAUUCGACUGAGGGGCAUGAGGCAGAAAGAGAGAUCGGAGCCAGUUUCAGAACAGGAGUGAAAGUUUAUUAAAAGGCUUUAGAACAUGAAUGAAAGGAAGGAAAGGAUACUUGGAGAAGGACCAAGCAGGCAUCUUGAAAGGCAAGUGCUUUUUUUUUUUUUUUUCAUUUUUUAACCCCUUCCUAAUGUCACUGGAAUAAGAGGCCUGUCCCAGACCCCAAGAGCGGGUUCUUGGAUGUUGGAUGAGGAACAAUUCCAGGUGAGUGGCAGAGUAUAGUAAAGUUAAAAUCGUUUAUCAGAGACCACUCGGUUACAGAGUAGGAUGUCCUCCAAAAGCAAGAGAAGGAACGCGCACACCUUAAAUACGAUUCUUAUUUAUAUAGGUUAACAGAGCUAAGAAGAGAGGUCUUUUGUGCUUUAUUACAGAGGCUGGUGAUCAGCUUCUGACAGGCUAUUAGUAUUAUUUUCCUAUGUUACUACUGAUUUCAGCAAGGAUUUACGAAUGUACUAUUAACCUUAAAUCAAAACCUACUCUUAAACUAAGAAUGCUUUUUGUUCUUAAAAUAUUAAGAGAUUGCCAUAAAAUUCUGCGUCUUUAUUUAGUUAGCAUCAUUAACUUGUUCCCUCAACCAUAAACAUCUUGUGCCCAAGAGUGCCUACCCCCUGGGGGUGUAACCCUGCAGGCAUGGCUAUAUCCCACAUUUAUUAAAG
This 6098-nucleotide long non-coding RNA is filed under the name Homo sapiens (human). RNAcentral describes it as "HSALNT0197464". Lineage: Eukaryota; Metazoa; Chordata; Mammalia; Primates; Hominidae. The record is from RNAcentral.